AUACUCUGGUUUCUCUUCAGAUCGUAUAAAUCUUUCGCCUUUUACUAAAGAUUUCCGUGGAGAGGAACAACUCUGAGUCUUAAGCUAAUUUUUUGAGGCCUUGCUUCGGUAAGGCU
Molecule: small nuclear RNA, 116 nt
Filed under: Camelus bactrianus (Bactrian camel)
Lineage: Eukaryota; Metazoa; Chordata; Mammalia; Artiodactyla; Camelidae
Also listed under: 1 other name
Description: U5 spliceosomal RNA
Rfam family: U5 spliceosomal RNA
About the family: U5 RNA is a component of both types of known spliceosome. The precise function of this molecule is unknown, though it is known that the 5' loop is required for splice site selection and p220 binding, and that both the 3' stem-loop and the Sm site are important for Sm protein binding and cap methylation.
Source: Rfam by way of RNAcentral